This 135-nucleotide ribosomal RNA is filed under the name uncultured Bacteroidota bacterium. Its description in RNAcentral is "uncultured Bacteroidetes bacterium partial 16S ribosomal RNA". It matches the Rfam family "Bacterial small subunit ribosomal RNA", at positions 396 to 528 of the family's 1533-position model. RNAcentral also lists the same sequence under 1 other name. Lineage: Bacteria; Pseudomonadati; Bacteroidota. The record is from RNAcentral.
GCCGCGUGCAGGAAGACGGUCCUAUGGAUUGUAAACUGCUUUUAUAUAGGAAGAAACCGUUCCACGUGUGGAACUCUGACGGUACUAUAUGAAUAAGCACCGGCUAACUCCGUGCCAGCAGCCGCGGUAAUACGA